UAGGUGUUGGUUGGGCUGAAAGAAGGGUUGGGGUAUUGAUUAUGAGGUGAGUUAGAAAGGCAGAGAGUGAGCAGAAAAGUAAAUAGUUCGGUUUUACCUGGAGUGAAGCCACAGAGAGAGCCCCGGAAGAAAAGGUCGGUUAUCCACUUGAAAAAGGCUUCUAGGGUGUAGUUCCGUGGGCGGAACCAGGAAAUAUCUUGUGUGAGGACGUGAAGUAAGAGAGUGAAGUGGCAGGAUAGACAAAAGUAGGGCAUCUAGGGGGAUAUGGGAAUGUUUGUUAGUGAUUGUGAUUUCUGCUAUAAGGGUAACGAUUAGGCAGAAGGCUAAAAUGAGGGAGACUUUUUGGCUAGUAUUCCGAUUGGAAGGAGUUACAUUAUAUAAUUUCACUGUAAACAAUAGGCUUUCUUGGGGAAGAAAACACAUGCACAAAUCCUGGUGUAAGGAAUAUUUUAAGCAUAUAUCUUCAAUAUCAUUCAUCCAGGACCGAGCAAGACCAACACUCUUCCUCCUCCUCUGCCUACUCAAUGUGAAGACAAUGAGGAUGAACACCUUUAUGAUGCUCCACUUCCACUUAUUGAAUAGUGCUACACAUGAAACUUGUAACCAGUUACUACAGGCGAAAGCAAAUCCAUGUCUUCAGGCUGGUGUCAUCAGGGAGAGAAGCUUUGGUUUCCACAUAAGGAUAUAAGAUCAUUGAUGUAAAACAAGACAUGUAACCUCUCAAAUUGAGAGAAUGGAUUGGAGAGAUAUUGUUGACCAUGUUUUCCCCUGUAUCUCACCUUCCCCUCUCCAAGACUUCCUUGUCAGUUACCCAUAUUGAUAUCAGUUUAUCCACAUCCAUGCUUUCAAGUUUAAACAAAGAAACUAGGCAAAGGCAGCUAUGUAUUCGCUAGGAUUAGGGAGGAGAAGAUAAUGAACCACUGGAUAGUGAGAAGAAAGAGAGGUGGAGAAAGUGAGAGACCCCAGUAACAGAGGACAGGGACACAUUGCUAAGGAUAGGGACACAUUCACUGUAAUAUAGAAGGCCAUGCUUAUAUGUAAAAUAUGCAGUAAUUGUAUAUAUAUGUACAAAAGUGAUGACACACAUAUGCACAUAAACAAAACACAAUUACUGUCUAUGUUUCUUUAUUUGUGACCUAAUGUUUUAUGUUGUUUGUAACUGAAAAAAAAAUUCCCUUCUGAAUAAAAUGUCAAUUUUGCGAUUGCAUUUUUUCUUGUUUUUACUGUAAUAUUUCAAUUAUUUGUAUAUAUAUAUUUUUGAGACAGGAUUUCACUCUGUUGGACAGGCUGGAGUGCAUUGGCCUGAUCAUGGCUCUCUGCAGCCUUGAUAUCCUGGGCUUGAGCAAACCUUACACCUUUGCUUCCUAAGUAUCUGGGACUAUAGGCGUGCACCACUGUAUCUGGC
Molecule: long non-coding RNA, 1405 nt
Filed under: Homo sapiens (human)
Lineage: Eukaryota; Metazoa; Chordata; Mammalia; Primates; Hominidae
Description: HSALNT0373596
Source: RNAcentral